Etheostoma spectabile (orangethroat darter) is the source of this 143-nucleotide long non-coding RNA. RefSeq lists it as uncharacterized. The transcript is spliced from 3 exons. Lineage: Eukaryota; Metazoa; Chordata; Actinopteri; Perciformes; Percidae. The record is from RefSeq and is a predicted model, not a curated record.
UUCUGUUUCAGUCAUCCCCGGCCAAACUGGCUCGUAACUUUAAACUGUUACCUUCCCAAGUUCAUUUGUACCCGCAUUUGGGGGGUUGGCAGGUGUCAAUUUAAAGCCCUGCUGACAACCUUUGAACGCAAAGCAGACGGACA